This 468-nucleotide ribosomal RNA is filed under the name uncultured bacterium. Its description in RNAcentral is "partial 16S ribosomal RNA". It matches the Rfam family "Bacterial small subunit ribosomal RNA", at positions 28 to 507 of the family's 1533-position model. The record is from RNAcentral.
GACGAACGCUGGCGGCGUGCUUAACACAUGCAAGUCGAACGGAAAGGCCCUGCUUUUGUGGGGUGCUCGAGUGGCGAACGGGUGAGUAACACGUGAGUAACCUGCCCUUGACUUUGGGAUAACUUCAGGAAACUGGGGCUAAUACCGGAUAGGAGCUCCUGCUGCAUGGUGGGGGUUGGAAAGUUUCGGCGGUUGGGGAUGGACUCGCGGCUUAUCAGCUUGUUGGUGGGGUAGUGGCUUACCAAGGCUUUGACGGGUAGCCGGCCUGAGAGGGUGACCGGCCACAUUGGGACUGAGAGACGGCCCAGACUCCUACGGGAGGAAGCAGUGGGGAAUAUUGCACAAUGGGCGGAAGCCUGAUGCAGCAACGCCGCGUGCGGGAUGACGGCCUUCGGGUUGUAAACCGCUUUCGCCUGUGACGAAGCGUGAGUGACGGUAAUGGGUAAAGAAGCACCGGCUAACUACGUG